This is a long non-coding RNA of Apis dorsata (giant honeybee), 281 nucleotides long. RefSeq lists it as uncharacterized. NCBI's taxonomy places the organism in Eukaryota, Metazoa, Arthropoda, Insecta, Hymenoptera, Apidae. The transcript has 3 exons. The record is from RefSeq and is a predicted model, not a curated record.
UCGUUAAUAAUCGGUAUCGAUCACAGUGAUCAGUCGCGUCACGAAUUUCUUGAUUUUUUUUUUUUUAAUCUUUUGCCCUCGAUACACAAUGUGCAGCGGCCCGGAUCCGCCAUAGAUCGCGACUCGAGACUCGAGAGAUUGUCUUUUCGACACUUAGAACGAGUUAGAACGAGUACAUACAACACCGAUAUGUACGGGAAGAGAUUGUUGCUUGAAUGUAAUCCCUAAUUUUUUAAUUUUUUUUUUUCUUUUCUUUUUUUUUAAACCUUUUUUAUAUCCGU